CUUAUGACGCUCACACACCCAUUAGAAGACUGGGCUUCUAAUAAUAUAAUGCCCAUUAGAAAGAUAAGUCCAUUAAGAAUGUUUAUAUAUUCUCCCUCGUUCGCAUUUCCAAGUCAGCCCAUAUAUAUUGCUGGAUUUUCUUUAACGCAUACAGUAAGAAAUAAAUUAGUCUCUGUCAAUUUACCCAAUCAUUGGGUGAAUUGUCUUUUUGCAGGUCAGUCAGUAGGCAGGAAUCAAAAGAAUGAGAAAUCAUCUACAAGUCAUUUUGUGUUUACUUUGCGGAUUCCAGGUGUUAAUUAGAGAACUGAACUACAGGUGCAAGGUGUUCUCAACCUAAUCGAUCUUGCUGGAAGCGAGAGGCUAUCAGAGAGUGGGGGAACCGGAAAGCAACUGAAGGAGACACAUGUUUCUUGUUGUUUCAAACAUAGUCUUUCCAAGCUAUUGGCUUCAACAUUAUAUUUCUUGUAGACCGUGAAUGAAUUCCACACUAGAAUGAUAAAAUUUCACUAUGGUAUUUAGCCAUUGAA
This is a long non-coding RNA of Camelina sativa (false flax), 527 nucleotides long. RefSeq lists it as uncharacterized. The record is from RefSeq and is a predicted model, not a curated record. NCBI's taxonomy places the organism in Eukaryota, Viridiplantae, Streptophyta, Magnoliopsida, Brassicales, Brassicaceae.